GCAACGAGGGGCAAGGAGGGAGACAGAAAAAGAGGUGAAAAAGCCCGUAGUCCGUUUGAAGGGGGAAAAACACGAACAAUAUUAUGGGAGGAAUCUCCUAAUGCACCAAUGUGAAUUUAGAGUACAGAUUGCACAAGGCUACACAGGAAGCACACAGUGUAUGUGAGCUCAAUACCACUCAGUAAGCUUGUGCAAACCGGUAUUCAGACUAGCUUGGAGGGGUGAAGAGAGCCCCAGAACAGCUAGGUGAAACAUCUGGAAAUCCUGGACACCCCUCAGCACAGAGGGGCUAUUAAGGAGCAGGUGAGUGCCACAGAAACUUCAAGGGAACUCACUUGAU
This 340-nucleotide long non-coding RNA is filed under the name Salvator merianae (Argentine black and white tegu). Its description in RNAcentral is "lncRNA (ENSSMRG00000010105.1)". The record is from RNAcentral. Lineage: Eukaryota; Metazoa; Chordata; Lepidosauria; Squamata; Teiidae.